This is a long non-coding RNA of Sapajus apella (tufted capuchin), 1342 nucleotides long. RefSeq lists it as uncharacterized. The record is from RefSeq and is a predicted model, not a curated record. NCBI's taxonomy places the organism in Eukaryota, Metazoa, Chordata, Mammalia, Primates, Cebidae. The transcript has 3 exons.
CAUUUUUUUAGGUUGUCUUUUCACUCUGUUACUUGUUUGCUUCGCUGUACAGAAGCUUUUUAGUUUGAUAUAAUCCUGUAGUCUCAUUUGCCUACUUUUACUUUUGUUGCCUUUGUUUUUGAGGUCUUACCUAAAAAAUCCUUGCCAAGACAAAUGUCAUGAGGUAUUUUCCAUGUGUAUUUUUUAAGUAGUUUCAUAGUUCUGAGUCUUACCUUUAAGCCUUUAAUCCAUUUUGAGUUGAUUUUUUAAUAGGGUGAGAAAUGGGGGUCUGUUUUUCAUUCUUCUGCAUAUGGUUAACCAGUUUUCCCAGAACCAUUCAUUGAACAGAGAGUCCUUUUUCCAUUGCUUAUUUUUCUCAACUUUGUAAAAGAUCAUUUGUCAAUAAGUGUGCCCCUUUAUUUCUGGGUUCUCUAUUCUGUUCCGUUGGUAUGUGUGCCUAUUUUUGUACCAGUACCAGGCAUUUUCAGUCUUCUUGGAAGAUCACCCUCUCCAGAAGAAACUAAGAGUCUGUAGCCCAUCCCAGACUAAUGCCCAAGUAUUGAUAUUUGGCUUAUGUAAAAGUAACUGUCUUUGAUACUGUAGUGUCAACAUUUGACGCUUUUGAGUGUUUGUUGUUCUGACAACUACUACCACAUAUUUAGCUCUUAUGUGCCAAGAACUAUGCAAAAGGCAGUGGACAAGAAUAUGGGUUUUGGACACAGCUUCCUGAGUUUGUAUUUUGAUUCUGCCCCUUACUAAAUCUGUGUUCAUGGGCAGGGUAGUUAACCUCUUGGUACUUCCAUUUCUUCUUCUGUUAAAUGGAGGUCACAAUAUAGGAUAAUAACACAAUUGGAGUUAUUAUGAAGAUUAAAGGAGAUAAUACAUGUAUAAAACUCAUAACUUUUACACACAGUAAGCACUCAAUGACUGCUUAUUGGUGUCAUUAUUGUCAUCAUCAUCAUCAUUUAAUCUUUACAGGAAAGCAUUGGGAUAAUACGCAUUUUAGAGACAAAGAAACUGAGGCUAAGGAAUCAUAAAUAACUUUCCCAAGGUCACAGUACUAGCAAAUGAUGGCUGAGAUUUGACCUUAGGUGCUCAUGAUUAAGCCCAUGCUCCUAAACUAGACUGUAGCCUUAGUGGAAGAGGGCUGCUGAUAGCAUUUUAGAAUGUCAUAUAUGGAAUCUAGCCUUCUCCUUUUGUGGAUAGAAAAACUGAACUGACUAAGCACCCUAAGUAACAAAUCCCUAAAGGAGUAUCUUUCCCAUUGUCCUUUCUACUGCCCCCAAGUGUGGCUUCUUUUCUUUUUCUUUUUUUCUUUUCUUUUUUUUUUAGAUGGAGUAUCACACUGUUCCUAGGCUGUAGU